GAGAAUAUAUAUAGAGAGAGCAGGACAAAUAUGCUAUUAGGAGCACGGAAAUCUUCCGUGCUUCUAAAUUAUUUUCAAUAAUGAAACUUUCAAAUUGACGAUAGAUUCCGUUAGACUUGAUCUAACAUAUUUAAAGUAUCUAGAAAUUUAAUAUUGCAUUUUUUAUAUAAUUUAUCUAUUGAUCAAAAUGGUUCAAAAUUAAUAAUCUUUAACCCUUUGAUGUGUGCCUUUUAUAUAUUUAACAGUGUCGAAGUAUUUAAAUCAAAAAAAAUUUGGAUAGAAAAUUUUUUAUACUAUCUACAACAAGAUCAAUAUCUUUGAUCGAAAAUUUUAGUGCUACAUCAUAACUUUUUGAGAGAAUUUUAUUUUUAGCCAUCCAUUUUUAGUCAUUUCGAUCACUAAGUAAAUGAUAUCGAAAAUUCAUAAAAUUUAUUUUCUAGAUAUUUUAAAUAUACUAGAUCAAAUUUAACAGAGUUGGUUGUCGAUUCGGAAGUUUAAUUAUCGAAAACUGGGUUAGAAAUACGGAGGCCUCCGUGCUCCUAAUAACACACAGGUCAUACUCUAUAUAUAUCUCCAUCGUUAGAUUAUUUCUUUCACCGUUU
This 602-nucleotide long non-coding RNA is filed under the name Ananas comosus (pineapple). RNAcentral's name for it is "long non-coding RNA (ACOM_LNC002521)". Lineage: Eukaryota; Viridiplantae; Streptophyta; Magnoliopsida; Poales; Bromeliaceae. The record is from RNAcentral.